This 384-nucleotide ribosomal RNA is filed under the name uncultured bacterium. RNAcentral describes it as "bacterial SSU rRNA". It matches the Rfam family "Bacterial small subunit ribosomal RNA", at positions 28 to 412 of the family's 1533-position model. The record is from RNAcentral.
GACGAACGCUGGCGGCGUGCUUAACACAUGCAAGUCGAGCGGUAAGGCCCUUUCGGGGGUACACGAGCGGCGAACGGGUGAGUAACACGUGGGUGACCUGCCCUCAGCUCUGGGAUAAGCCUGGGAAACCGGGUCUAAUACCGGAUAUGACUCCAUGACGCAUGUUGUGGGGUGGAAAGCCUUGUGCGGCUGAGGAUGGGCCCGCGGCCUAUCAGCUUGUUGGUGGGGUGAUGGCCUACCAAGGCGACGACGGGUAGCCGGCCUGAGAGGGCGACCGGGCCACACUGGGACUGAGACACGGCCCAGACUCCUACGGGAGGCAGCAGUGGGGAAUCUUGCGCAAUGGGCGAAAGCCUGACGCAGCGACGCCGCGUGAGGGAUGAC